ACGGAAGGCAGCAGUGGGGAAUAUUGCACAAUGGGGGAAACCCUGAUGCAGCGACGCCGCGUGAGUGAAGAAGUAUUUCGGUAUGUAAAGCUCUAUCAGCAGGGAAGAAAAUGACGGUACCUGACUAAGGAGCCCCGGCUAACUACGUGCCAGCAGCCGCGGUAAUACGUAGGGGGCAAGCGUUAUCCGGAUUUACUGGGUGUAAAGGGAGCGUAGACGGUUCUGCAAGUCUGAUGUGAAAGGCAGGGGCUCAACUCCUGGACUGCAUUGGAAACUGUAGAACUAGAGUGCCGGAGAGGUAAGCGGAAUUCCUAGUGUAGCGGUGAAAUGCGUAGAUAUUAGGAGGAACACCAGUGGCGAAGGCGGCUUACUGGACGGUAACUGACGUUGAGGCUCGAAAGCGUGGGGAGCAAACAGGAUUAGAUACCCUGGUA
Molecule: ribosomal RNA, 434 nt
Filed under: uncultured Lachnospiraceae bacterium
Lineage: Bacteria; Bacillati; Bacillota; Clostridia; Lachnospirales; Lachnospiraceae
Description: bacterial SSU rRNA
Rfam family: Bacterial small subunit ribosomal RNA
Source: RNAcentral